GUGGGUGCGCAUUGGCGAGCGCAGCGGUCUCCAAAACCGUGGCCUGUAGUGGGCCUUGUCAGUUCGAAUCUGACCACCCGCGCCA
This 85-nucleotide transfer RNA is filed under the name Idiomarina sp. RNAcentral describes it as "tRNA-Trp". It matches the Rfam family "tRNA". Rfam says of the family: Transfer RNA (tRNA) molecules are approximately 80 nucleotides in length. Lineage: Bacteria; Pseudomonadati; Pseudomonadota; Gammaproteobacteria; Alteromonadales; Idiomarinaceae. RNAcentral also lists the same sequence under 1 other name. The record is from RNAcentral.